Long non-coding RNA from Cynara cardunculus var. scolymus (artichoke), 826 nucleotides. RefSeq lists it as uncharacterized. The transcript is spliced from 3 exons. NCBI's taxonomy places the organism in Eukaryota, Viridiplantae, Streptophyta, Magnoliopsida, Asterales, Asteraceae. The record is from RefSeq and is a predicted model, not a curated record.
AUUAAAAAAGUACAACUCUACCAAGCACAAGUCUUCACCGUUCCACGCCUCCACCUUCACACACGCUCUCCAGCCUCCACGCUCAUCACGCCUCCACCUUCACACACCUUCGCACGCUCUCCGGCUGCCCAAUGACCGGCUCUGCACGCUCUCCUAUCGCACGCUCUCCGGCUCCCAAGAAAUCGGUUCAUUCUCCCACUCGAUUCCUUCUCCCAAAGGCGACGAUUCCUUCUCCCAAAACAGCGAUUCACGUUUUUGAAACCAUCACCAUUUAUCAAGGAAGAACUUUUGAGCAAUUUUUCGACCAGGUUACGAUCAAUGAGAUUAUCAUCAACAGCUAGAACAUGAGCUGAAGAUAUGUGUUGCUUUACAAUGCAUAACAGAGAAGUACAAUGCAACGCUUAGCAACCAGGGUGCCAAGAGGGCACUAUCUUCGGUUGAACAUUGUUCUGGCACGAGCCAUUCAUCAUUUCUUAUAAAGCGGUCAUUCUUACUACACCAGUUCUGUCUAAAGAGCGCCUGCAAUAAUCCAUCAGCAUACCAUUCCAUUUGAAUUUCUUAAAUGGGGGUCACUUGGUUCCCACAGGUUUUCAAACAACGAUUCACGUUCUUGAAACCAUCACCUUUUAUCAAGGUUAAUUCUUCAUUGACAUCAAUCUCUACUUCUCUUCUAGAAACAACUAUGAAACCACUCUAUUUGAUAGGCUUUUGCUUUUGGUAACACAACAUCCAUCAAUUGUGUUGUUGCUUGAAUUCCAGUUUUUUUAUCUCAUCCUAUGGUCAAACCUGCAUUGAUGAAUUUCCUAAGCACACUUAAAUUUUUAUA